This 632-nucleotide ribosomal RNA is filed under the name Lacticaseibacillus paracasei. Its description in RNAcentral is "bacterial SSU rRNA". It matches the Rfam family "Bacterial small subunit ribosomal RNA", at positions 402 to 1025 of the family's 1533-position model. The record is from RNAcentral. Lineage: Bacteria; Bacillati; Bacillota; Bacilli; Lactobacillales; Lactobacillaceae.
UGAGUGAAGAAGGCUUUCGGGUCGUAAAACUCUGUUGUUGGAGAAGAAUGGUCGGCAGAGUAACUGUUGUCGGCGUGACGGUAUCCAACCAGAAAGCCACGGCUAACUACGUGCCAGCAGCCGCGGUAAUACGUAGGUGGCAAGCGUUAUCCGGAUUUAUUGGGCGUAAAGCGAGCGCAGGCGGUUUUUUAAGUCUGAUGUGAAAGCCCUCGGCUUAACCGAGGAAGCGCAUCGGAAACUGGGAAACUUGAGUGCAGAAGAGGACAGUGGAACUCCAUGUGUAGCGGUGAAAUGCGUAGAUAUAUGGAAGAACACCAGUGGCGAAGGCGGCUGUCUGGUCUGUAACUGACGCUGAGGCUCGAAAGCAUGGGUAGCGAACAGGAUUAGAUACCCUGGUAGUCCAUGCCGUAAACGAUGAAUGCUAGGUGUUGGAGGGUUUCCGCCCUUCAGUGCCGCAGCUAACGCAUUAAGCAUUCCGCCUGGGGAGUACGACCGCAAGGUUGAAACUCAAAGGAAUUGACGGGGGCCCGCACAAGCGGUGGAGCAUGUGGUUUAAUUCGAAGCAACGCGAAGAACCUUACCAGGUCUUGACAUCUUUUGAUCACCUGAGAGAUCAGGUUUCCCCUUCGGGG